GGGACAUCAUAUCUGCAGCUUUAUUUUAAAUGUUUCAGAAGAAAAAAUGUCUCAAGUGCACACACACACAUACACACAUACACAGUGGGGGGGGGAAUAAAGUUAAGUAUGAUAAAAUUAACAUUUAGGGAAUCUGGAUAAAUGGUAAACAGAAAUUCUUUGGAGUAUUUUCACAAGUUAUCUAAAAGUCUGAAGCAACUUCAAGAACGCUUUUAAAAAAUAAAAGUGGUAUAUCAAUGACAUAAAGUAGGUUAAGAGAUGACUAGGUUGUGAGAGUUUGGGUGUAUCAUGAUGAAAACUAACAUUAGUAGCUUUUUGGAGGGAAAUCUAGGAGAACACCCUCAAAUUUAAAAUGUAUACAUCUUUUAACUCGGUAACUCCACCUCUGCAAUCUGUCUCAUGGAAGUAUACUCAUAUAUGCACAAAGAUAUUUAUUGCAAUACUAUUUUGUAUUCGAAAAGUAAAACAAUCAAAAUUUCUGCUUAAGAAGAAGCUAUAUUCAGGCACAUUCAUGAUACGGAAUAAUAGGAGACAGAGGAUAGAUUUAUGAAUGUCCAAUUUGUCCUCACACAGAAAGAUCUCCAAGACACAUUAAAUGAAAAAUAAAGAAAUUGGAAAACUAUACAUAUGGUAAAAUCCCCCUUAUAUUAAAUCCCAUUGUACUACAUUAUCUUUUAUAUUUAAAAACUGGAUAGAGUUGUAAAUGCCUGGAGUUAGGUGAUGACCUCUGGGGAAGAGAGAAGAGCUUGAAGGAAGAAGGCCAUGGCAACAACUUUCAGUGUUCAUGCUAAAUACAUCUUGCUUUCUAAUACAUCAAGGUAUUCAUAUCUUACUUGAAUAAUUACAAAAUGAAUAUCCCACAAUUGGUUCAGAAAUAAACUGAGUUGGGGCACCUGGUUGGCUCAGUCUGUGCAGCAUGCAACCCUUAAUUUCAAGGUUGAAGUUCAAGCCCCAUGUUGGGUAUGGAAUUUGCCUAACAAAAAUCAUCAUUAUCAUCAUCAGCUGAGUUAUAGUAGAGUGAUAUUAAAAACUGCUGCAGAAAUCUGUUUUUAAACAAUGGGAAAGUGUUGGGGCCUGGGUGGCUCAGUUGGUUGUCUGUCUUCAGCUUAGGUCAUGAUCCCAGAUUCCUGGGAUCGAGCCCC
RNAcentral lists this long non-coding RNA (1142 nucleotides) under Canis lupus familiaris (dog). RNAcentral's name for it is "lncRNA (ENSCAFG00845010965.1)". The record is from RNAcentral. Lineage: Eukaryota; Metazoa; Chordata; Mammalia; Carnivora; Canidae.